CGGUGGUCCCACCUGACCCCAUGCCGAACUCAGAAGUGAAACGCCGUAGCGCCGAUGGUAGUGUGGGGUCUCCCCAUGUGAGAGUAGGGAACUGCCA
RNAcentral lists this ribosomal RNA (97 nucleotides) under Klebsiella michiganensis. Lineage: Bacteria; Pseudomonadati; Pseudomonadota; Gammaproteobacteria; Enterobacterales; Enterobacteriaceae. The record is from RNAcentral.